RNAcentral lists this ribosomal RNA (253 nucleotides) under uncultured bacterium. RNAcentral's name for it is "partial 16S ribosomal RNA". It matches the Rfam family "Bacterial small subunit ribosomal RNA", at positions 524 to 776 of the family's 1533-position model. The record is from RNAcentral.
GACGAGCCACACAAACGUUAUUCGGAAUUACUGGGCUUAAAGGGUGCGUAGGCGGCGCGGAAAGUUGGGUGUGAAAUCACUCGGCUCAACCGAGGAAUGGCGCUCAAAACUACCGUGCUCGAGGGAGAUAGAGGAGUGCGGAACUUACGGUGGAGCGGUGAAAUGCGUUGAUAUCGUAGGGAACACCGGUGGCGAAAGCGGCACUCUGGAUCUCUUCUGACGCUGAUGCACGAAAGCUAGGGUAGCGAACGGG